AAGUCGAACGCAAUCUUUUAACAAUGAGUGCUUGCACUCAGCGUUUUAAGUGCGAGUGGCGAACGGGUGAGUAACACGUGGGCAAUCUGCCCAAAAGUGGGGGAUAACACUUGGAAACAGGUGCUAAUACCGCAUCAACCGGCUGACCGCAUGGUCGGCCGGGCAAAGACGGCGUCAGCUGUCGCUUUUGGAUGAGCCCGCGGCGUAUUAACUAGUUGGUAAGGUAACGGCUUACCAAGGUGAUGAUACGUAGCCGAACUGAGAGGUUGAUCGGCCACAUUGGGACUGAGACACGGCCCAAACUCCUACGGGAGGCAGCAGUAGGGAAUCUUCCACAAUGGACGCAAGUCUGAUGGAGCAACGCCGCGUGUAUGAAGAAGGUCUUCGGAUCGUAAAAUACUGUUGUCAGAGAAGAACACGUGAUAGAGUAACUGCUAUGACGCUGACGGUAUCUGACCAGCAAGUCACGGCUAACUAC
RNAcentral lists this ribosomal RNA (478 nucleotides) under uncultured bacterium. Its description in RNAcentral is "bacterial SSU rRNA". It matches the Rfam family "Bacterial small subunit ribosomal RNA", at positions 59 to 504 of the family's 1533-position model. The record is from RNAcentral.